GGGUAGUUGCAACAGCUGUAGUCCUAGAUGAUGUAGGGAAAAUCAAAGAUGUUAUCCAGAGAUGGUCUGAUAUUGACGAAAUGGAUCUCAUCCUUACCCUUGGUGGCACUGGCUUCACCCCAAGAGACGUUACCCCUGAAGCUACAAAAGAGUUGAUUCAGAGGGAAGCACCUGGUCUUUUGUAUGUAAUGAUCUAAGAGAGUUUAAAGGAUGCUAAACCAAUUGAUAGAAAAAUUGGUAAGCUUUGUGAAUAUGCUUCGAAAAACCCAUUACGAAUUCCCAAGUAUCUCAGGAAGGAUUGAAUUUAUCUUGUCAAUCUGAAAUGAUACGAAACAGUAUUGGGUUCGGGCUCCUGAAAUGAUCUGGUAAUCAUUAUAAGCCGGCUGGAUAUCAGUGAUUUGCUACUUAAUUUUGUGGAGAAAACGUUUGAAGCUCAGUUGCGAAACUGCAGUCGAAAAGAUUACUUUAGAUGGUGUACGGGGUUUGCAUGUCAUGCUGAGUGCAACAGUUCAUGAUGUGUUAUACUACAUGAGCCCCAUCUACUGUCAGGAUAUUAUCAACUCGGUACUGUUUAUCUUGUUUCCAAUUUCUCACCUUCUCUUCUUUCAUUUCUAUUUCCCAAUGACUAAGCUGUUUCAUUAUUCAACUAUAAAGCUUCUUUCAAUCCAGGUUCCUUGUUUAAAAUGACAUUUUUCUGCACAGGUUCAUGAUAGUCUUUCUAAAGCUUUAGACCAUAAUUAGAUGGGUUGUUUUGUAGUAGUCGAUACCUGAUCCACUAUC
Pistacia vera is the source of this 780-nucleotide long non-coding RNA. RefSeq lists it as uncharacterized. NCBI's taxonomy places the organism in Eukaryota, Viridiplantae, Streptophyta, Magnoliopsida, Sapindales, Anacardiaceae. The transcript is spliced from 5 exons. The record is from RefSeq and is a predicted model, not a curated record.